GUGGGCAUGUAUUUUCCCUUGGAAGCUGCCGCCUGCUCCUUCAGAGCCAGCGUAACCUGACUCCAGCCCUGCGAACCUACUGGCGUCACACAGCCCAGCUCCAGCAGCCCACAGCGCUCUGUGUGCAGGCUGGGUGCUGGGUGCUGGGCAACCUGUGCCCUCUGCGUCAUUAACAAAAUGGAGGGUGCUCUUCCAGACUGAGCAUCAAUGGCUCGAUUUUGAGAACAGAAAGUCAGGCACUCACAGUGUGGGAAAUGAUCCCUCCCGCACCAGAAGAACGGCCAAGAGCAUCCAGCCUCUGAGCAAUCUGACCCAGGGCUCCACGGCUGCUGCUCUGAUCAAGGGCAAGGAGGCAGGCUGGGACUGUAAGCAUCAGCGGCCUUGAAAAGCAGAAAAUAUCCUCAAUCACAGGAGAUGAGAGAAGUGCAGAAUUACAAUGACCAGAAAUGUGGUUCGGGGAAAUGGGAAGUUACUGACCUAGUGCCUAGA
RNAcentral lists this long non-coding RNA (489 nucleotides) under Pavo cristatus (Indian peafowl). RNAcentral describes it as "lncRNA (ENSPSTG00000018962.1)". Lineage: Eukaryota; Metazoa; Chordata; Aves; Galliformes; Phasianidae. The record is from RNAcentral.